Molecule: long non-coding RNA, 2146 nt
Organism: Tupaia belangeri chinensis (Chinese tree shrew)
Lineage: Eukaryota; Metazoa; Chordata; Mammalia; Scandentia; Tupaiidae
Exons: 2
Source: RefSeq, a predicted model, not a curated record
GAAAAGAGACUGCGGCAUGGCCAUCCCUGAGGGUGGGGGUGGGAGUGGGGUGGUUUCUCACCUUCCCUCUAUACCUCUCACAAGUGUGUGUUCCCUACGACUAAAACUAAAAAAAGACAAAAAAAAAAAAAAAAGCCCUGGCUGUUUGGCUUGCUUCUUUGGAGACUUCUUCAAACUGCUGAAAAGAAUGACUCUUCUAAUGGGAGCUCGAGUGACCCUCAAAUUAGAAAGUCCUCUCCAGGUAAUCAAGAGACGGAAGAGAGAUGAACGACUAAAACAGGCCAAGUGGUGCUAGCACUUUCCACACGGACAUUAGAAGACUGCGCUUUAUGUGAUGUUUGACCGCUGCAGGAAGACUUACCCUCUUAAACGCGUACAGCCUAAUGUCCUAAAAAAUUGCUUAACAGAUUUUUAUGUUCUAUUAGACCCAUCUCCAUUUUGGUGAAGUGCCACUCAUUUCUUAUUCCAAACCGCAGAUCUUGAGUAGCAACAGGGGGGGACGUCUGACCACAGCCACCAUUUGUCUUCUGGGCCUGGUUCGCGGACUCAUCUAGAAGGAACUGAAAUGGCUGACGGCACGUCGCCACCUUUAGGUAACCACAGACUUGUUUGGUGCUGGGCAAUUCGUCUUUUUUUGUUUCCAGAGUAAGACUGAGAGACCAAUUUACUCCCAGAGAAAAUGGGAGUGACGUCUAUUAAGUUUUUACAUGAAAACAUUUUUCCACCAAGGGAUGCCUGUCACUCUGAGCAACGGUGCCACCGCGAAUGCCUCCUGUGUUGGCAUGAUUUACUAACUAGCUCUGUCGGAGCGGAAUGGGCACACUGCCAGGUAGCUCCCAGGCCACACGUGAGUCUCGAGGGUCCCAGCUGCUUCUCUCCUUUCGUUCUCUUUGGCUUCGUGCUGGGUUACACAGAGCAGAGACCUGGAUCCUGGCAUCUGCAGGGCAAUUUGGUGUUGGGACAAAGUCACCAGCUAGAAGAAACCAUGUCAGGUCAGCAGAUGGUGUAGCGGUUACGUCACUGACCUCCUAUAUGGCCGACUGCGAUUCAAGUCCUGGACUCGGUGACUUGAAACUCAGGCCAGGCAUGUGUGCAUGCAUGCCCAAGAUCCCGGAAGGAGAAUGGAUUAGAAGGGAUUGAAGGGUUGCCAUUCCCCCUUAGGGGUGAUUUCUCUCUCUCUCGUCGUCUCUGUCUCCCUCUCUGGCGAGUAUGCAUACCCUAGAGGCAAAAACUUCUUAAAAGAAUAAAAGAAACCCUGAAGUAAUGCCGCCACUGCAUAGGUGCGAUGCGAUUGGUAGCAGGCCUGUGAACUGUUAACUUCCAAGGUGGCUCUUAGCCAUAAAGCAGUUCAAAUGAUCUUGUAGACCCUGGGCGGAAUUCCCUCGUGAUGUGAUGGAAAACAUCAACACUUAAGGGAAACAAGAAUGAUUAAUUGUGGGUUGAAUUUUCUUGUUUUAUAUCCAGAUCAUGAAUAUUUAAAGAAAAAUCAUUUCAACUUGGUAGGCCAGACUGCCGAGGAAUCACUGAGUUUUUCAUGAGCUUCUAUUAUUUGGUUUUGUAGAGCAGUUGCCAGGCCUAGAAGCGUCCUCGCUAAAACUCAUUAUCUUUAGUCAAUCUGGCCAAACGUCAAGUUGUUAGAUAAACAACCCGGGGUCCAUCUAAACACUUGGCAACGUAGGAGAAUAUAAAUUCCCUUUUAGUUGUUUUUUUCCCUGCUGGCCCAGACUACUCGUAUGUGUGCCAAAAGCUGAGGUCCCCUAAUUCCUCGUUAGCUUUACCCACCCUGAGCUUGUGGGUGCACAGCUGGUCUGCUGUAGGUCAGCUCUGACAAGGAAGGCUUGCCCCCUCCACCCUGAACCACUUCAAAGCCAAGUGGAUCCUCAGACUGUCCUGGGGCUUGGGGCCUGCACCUCAGUCGAUCUUGGAAUCCAGUAAAGUCCAAAAUCUUCAGGGGAUCACUCACAAGGCACUGAUUUGGGUACAGGAAAAUAAAAUUAAGCUCACCAUAGCAUUUCUUCUAGGGGCUGCCCGGGAGAAUUUCCAGAGAAAGGGAAAGGCUAGCUUGGGAGUUUGUUUCUGGCUUCAUUCCACCCCAUACCUGAUUUCUCAUUUUCAGUUUUCUUUCCCUGGUAAGGAAGACUCGAUG